GGUUCCUUGCCAAGCGCUUAAAACCCAAAGGACUUGACGGUGCCCUAUAUCCAUCUAGAGGAGCCUGUCCUAUAAUCGAUAACCCACGUUUAACCUCACCACCCCUAGUUUAUCAGCCUGUAUACCUCCGUCGUCAGCUUACCUCGUGAGCGCUGCAUAGUGAGCAUAAUGUCUCCCAACAACACGUCAGGUCAAGGUGCAGCAAAUGGGGUGGGAAGAGAUGGGCUACACUUUCUACUUUAGAACACACGGAAAACUACUAUGAAAUCUAGUUUGAAGGCGGAUUUAGCAGUAAAAAGAGACCAUAAUACUCAUUUUAAUCUGGCACUAGGGUGUGUACACACCGCCCGUCACCCUCUUCGAACAAUUUAUU
RNAcentral lists this ribosomal RNA (373 nucleotides) under Amazophrynella aff. matses sp. 1 RRR-2018. RNAcentral's name for it is "partial 12S ribosomal RNA". It matches the Rfam family "Microsporidia small subunit ribosomal RNA", at positions 755 to 1221 of the family's 1311-position model. Lineage: Eukaryota; Metazoa; Chordata; Amphibia; Anura; Bufonidae. The record is from RNAcentral.